RNAcentral lists this ribosomal RNA (322 nucleotides) under uncultured eukaryote. Its description in RNAcentral is "partial 18S ribosomal RNA". It matches the Rfam family "Eukaryotic small subunit ribosomal RNA", at positions 1470 to 1796 of the family's 1831-position model. The record is from RNAcentral.
CCCUUAGAUGUCCUGGGCCGCACGCGCGCUACACUGACGUGUUCAACAAGUUUCUCCUAGUUCGACAGGACUGGGAAAUCUUUGAACACAUGUCGUGAUAGGGAUAGAUCAUUGCAAUUAUUGAUCUUGAACGAGGAAUUCCUAGUAAACGCGAGUCAUCAGCUCGCAUUGAUUACGUCCCUGCCCUUUGUACACACCGCCCGUCGCACCUACCGAUUGAAUGUUUCGGUGAAGAUUCCGGAUAGGACUGAUUUGAUUUAUUUCAUUUCUGACCUAAAAGCUAUCUAAACCUCAACAUUUAGAGGAAGGUGAAGUCGUAACA